AUGCAUCCGCUUCACCGCUCUCUCCUCCUCCUCUACGCGGCGGCGGCCGCCGGGUUCUUGCUGCUCUCGCCGGCCCACUGCGCCGCCUCGGCAUUGCCGGAUCCGGCGCCGCUCGACCCGGCGGGCCUGUUCAUGCCCUCGGCCACGCCGGCGCAGCCCGGCUCCGCCACGAUCCCGGCGUUCCCGGAGCAGUCGGACGCCGUCUCCGGGGCCUCCUCCACGUGCCCGCUCGACCCCUCCCCGCGGCUCCUCCCGGCCGUGCUCUCCUCCUGCGACGCAGACGGGGCGCUGCCCUCGAGGCUGCGGUGCUGCCCCGCGCUGGCCGCGUGGCUGUUCGCCGCCUACGCGCCCACCGCGCUCGCGGCGAGGCCGGCGCGACCGGCGUCGGCGGCGCCCGUGGACAUGCCGGUGCCUCCGGACGACUCGGAGGCGUGCGCGGGCGCCGCGGACCGCGCGCUGCGGUCCGAGGGGGCGGCGCUGCCGCGCCCGCCGGGCGCCAACGGGACGUGCGACGUGGCCUUCUGCUACUGCGGGGUGAGGCUGCGGCGGCUGACGUGCGGGGCCCAGCCGACGGGUGCCGGCCAGUGGGUCCCGGCGGAAUCGGCGGCGAGGAGGCUGAAGAGGGACUGCGCGCGGCCCGGCGUCCCCGGCUGCUCCAAGUGCCUCCGUGCUCUUUCCACGAUAAAGGCGGGAUCCGGCGGCGGCGAGACGGCGGUUGCGGCGUCGGGGAAGCUGCAGGCGGCCGCGUCGAGCGAGCGGGACUGCCAGCUCAUGGGCCUCAUGUGGCUGCUGCAGCGCAACGCCACGCGCUACGGCGCAGCGGCCACGGCCGUGAUCCGGGCGCAGAUGGCCGCGGACGAGGCGUCCGCCGUGGGCGUCGCGGCGGUGGCGGGGCCGGCCGCCUGCUCGCUCCCCGUGGACGACAUGCCGUUCGCGGCCGAGUACGGGAGGCUCAGCGGGGCCGGCGGACGGCCAACCGCCCUCCGCCGCUUCCACCUGGCUCUGCUCGCCAUGUUCAGCGUGAUCUGCUCGCUGUAG
RNAcentral lists this ribosomal RNA (1038 nucleotides) under Triticum aestivum (bread wheat). RNAcentral's name for it is "partial small subunit ribosomal RNA". Lineage: Eukaryota; Viridiplantae; Streptophyta; Magnoliopsida; Poales; Poaceae. The record is from RNAcentral.